GAUGAACGCUGGCGGCGUGCCUAACACAUGCAAGUCGAACGAAGCACCUUGAAGUUUUCGGACAGAUGGGUGACUGAGUGGCGGACGGGUGAGUAACGCGUGGGUAACCUGCCUCAUACAGGGGGAUAACAGUUAGAAAUGACUGCUAAUACCGCAUAAGCGCACAGAGCUGCAUGGCUCCGUGUGAAAAACUCCGGUGGUAUGAGAUGGACCCGCGUCUGAUUAGCUAGUUGGUGGGGUAACGGCCUACCAAGUCGACGAUCAGUAGCCGGACUGAGAGGUUGAACGGCCACAUUGGGACUGAGACACGGCCCAGACUCCUACGGGAGGCAGCAGUAAGGGGAUAUUGCGCAAUGGGG
RNAcentral lists this ribosomal RNA (359 nucleotides) under uncultured bacterium. RNAcentral describes it as "bacterial SSU rRNA". It matches the Rfam family "Bacterial small subunit ribosomal RNA", at positions 28 to 376 of the family's 1533-position model. The record is from RNAcentral.